UAUCUGAUUUUUGCAACUCCAGCAAACCCACUGGUAAUUCCCUUCCUCUCAUAUGGCGAUUUACGGCAAGAGACCACCGCCUUCACUCGUCGCUUAUUUUUGGGGCUAUUAGGGUUCGUCGAGCAAGUCCAGUGAGUUCAGUUGUAAGACGGCGACAACGGUGGCGGCCACGGUUCCUUUGGCCUCCGGUCUCUUCGUAUCAAGCACAUCUCUCUCUUUAGGCGUCAAUUUCAUUUUGGGUAUCACCUGGAGAAGGAACCGGUGCGAGUGUGCGACAAUGUCGGAUGAUGAUGAUGAUCAAGUGGACAGUGAUGCGAAUUUGUUUGAUGGGAUGGGUUGCAGUGCUGGAUUGAUCUCUAUUGAUCUUGCCAAACAGCUGAAUAUAUAUAGUUGAAUGCUUAGAGAGUUGCUUGGCAAAGGAAUGUGAAGAUGGAUGUUGCUGAUAGCCUGAUACUACUUGGAAGCUAGAUGAAGCUGGAUUUUUGAAGACAGUAGAUCUGUUUUUGUGUAGUGUAGAACUGUAGAUUUUGCUUUUGUUUUGUUUUAUACUUUUAUGUAUGGUUUAAGGCUUAGAGUUCAUGUUUUGCACAAAUGGAACAUAAAUGUUAUUGAGUUUUGAACAUAGUAAUUAUUUUGACCGCCUGCACGCCGCGAAGCGAUCCCGCGGUUUAAAUCCUAGU
This 680-nucleotide long non-coding RNA is filed under the name Helianthus annuus (common sunflower). RNAcentral describes it as "hypothetical non coding rna". The record is from RNAcentral. Lineage: Eukaryota; Viridiplantae; Streptophyta; Magnoliopsida; Asterales; Asteraceae.